RNAcentral lists this unclassified non-coding RNA (568 nucleotides) under Hevea brasiliensis (rubber tree). Lineage: Eukaryota; Viridiplantae; Streptophyta; Magnoliopsida; Malpighiales; Euphorbiaceae. The record is from RNAcentral.
CGAAUCCAUUCAAGGAGCAGCUUCUCAGGUUUCUGUUGAUGCAUCAAUACUUCAUCGACAUCAAAUGAUCCUGGACAACAUUCUUAACAGAGCAAGAUCUCAAAACGGAAACAAGAGGAGAUUUGCAGAAAAAUUAGGGACUCCAAACAUGUGGUCAGAAGAGGAGCUAGAUUCUCUUUGGAUUGGCGUGAGGCGGCAUGGAAGAGGUAACUGGGAUGUGAUGUUGAGGGAUCCAAGGCUGCGCUUUUUUUCGUGGAGGACGCCAACAGACUUGGCAGAACAGUGGAUGGAGGAACAGUCGAAACUUUUACAUGGAAAAUCCAUUUCCCCUGUGAGACAGUUACAUAAAGCUGAUGUUUCAUCCCAUGGUAUGGAUGAUGUUAAACUUUCACUUGGGCAUGCACAUUCCCAGUCAGGAGACAACAUCCGGAGCCAAAUACCAUUUCAUUUUCCAAAUGUUCAAAAUACUUCGCAAAAAUUACUUCACCUGGCUACAACAAAUGUAGGGACCUUAGAUUCUCUCUGUCUCAGGGGAAACCGCAAAAGGGCUAAGUUCAACCAAUCCGAG